This 1427-nucleotide long non-coding RNA is filed under the name Anser brachyrhynchus (Pink-footed goose). Its description in RNAcentral is "lncRNA (ENSABRG00000015576.1)". Lineage: Eukaryota; Metazoa; Chordata; Aves; Anseriformes; Anatidae. The record is from RNAcentral.
GUCAGAAUGGGGAAAAAGGUUUUGAAAAUAUUGGCAGGAUAUGGCGUUGGGUAACUACCUGCACCCUGGUCUGGUUCUUCCUCAUUUGAAGGUAAAUAGUCAAAGUGAAGGAUUUGCCAUAUUAUAUGAAGUUAUUGUAAAACAAAAUUUGUUAGCAGAGACCACCAGCAGCUUCAGAAGAAAGUGAUUAUACCCAGUCCAGUGAUGUACAAAAUAUUUUUAGAGAGUUGAUUUUGUUUUCAAGCUAUGUAUCAGGAUAUCAGUUCCUUUUGUCAAUGUAUAGAGACCAAUGGCAAGAACAUCCAAUAUCUGUGUGAGUGCUUCGUUGUAUAUUUGAUUCGGCAUACUGCAUCUCCUAAUUCUGUUCCUGAAAUACAACUGUAAUGAUGUUGUUCAGUUUCAGUAUGCUCUUGUAUACCCUCAUGCAAUGUAAUAUCAAAAUGCUUUCUGUUACUAAGAGAAGUGUGUGUGUGAAUACAACUUUGUGUAUGAAGCACUUCCUUCUGUCUCUUAGCCUGUUGAGAAACAAGUUUGAUUGUUUUAUAGAAUUUUGCUUUGUUUGAAGAAAUUAUUGAGAGAUGGAAACCUCAUCUUUCAGCUAGAAAGAUGAGGUUUGCCGUGAAGAUUGUAAGUGAAUUUAUUUUUCUCUCCUCAGGGAGGAAGGUCCAUAGUCCACAUCCAGCUCCUCCAAAAGUUGUCUCCUUCUCUCAGGAGCAUCCUGCCUGUUUGCAGGCACGUUCGUUGUUUGGAAGAACAUGGCUGUCAUGGAAGGUCGUGGUCAGAGAAGGGGAAGGAGGUCUCACAGGAUAUAUAACUUCACUCCGAGAUCUGAGUUGAAGUGAUGUACACACUACACCGUUCACAAUUUCUUCAGACCAGUUCAUUCACCAAAGGUGUUCUUUCAGAAUCAGACAGCAGACAGGGAGAGAUGAAUUUCUAAAUUAAUAUCAGCUUUGGAAAACUUCUGUAAAGAGACCGUGAUACACUGCCAGCAUCAUUAUGCUUGGGUCCUACCGAAAGAGAAAAAAACCAUUGGGAUGCGAAGUGUCUUGGAAAGAAUGCAGAGUCUACUCUGAGGAGCUUGCAGUACUGAGAUCUACUCCCGCACUAGGCCAUGUUUAUUCAUCAAAUGGAGAAACACUCCCUGUGUCAGAGAUAUUAUCUGCAUUAGUCAUCAGUACAAGUGUUUGCAUAGCCAGGCCAUCAGCAGAGGAUCUCAGCUGGAGAUCCGGGGGAGAGCUACUUUCUUUACAUUGGCUCUGUGAGAUGAGUGUUAAUUUCACCUGAAUUCAAACUUAACAUUAAUGGUAAUCUGAUCUCUAAUCAUAUGUUGACCUCAGUCUCAUUUUAUUUCAUGUUUUAUUUUUUUCUUCUGUACAUCAUCUCACUGAUUUCAAUACAUCUUUCUAUCUCACUGUUGUCUAACA